CCUUCGAUAGCUCAGUUGGUAGAGCGGAGGACUGUAGUAGUGCUACUAAAGUAAUCCUUAGGUCGCUGGUUCGACUCCGGCUCGAAGGA
This 89-nucleotide transfer RNA is filed under the name Anolis carolinensis (green anole). It matches the Rfam family "tRNA". Rfam says of the family: Transfer RNA (tRNA) molecules are approximately 80 nucleotides in length. Lineage: Eukaryota; Metazoa; Chordata; Lepidosauria; Squamata; Anolidae. The record is from Rfam by way of RNAcentral.